Molecule: ribosomal RNA, 494 nt
Filed under: uncultured bacterium
Lineage: Bacteria
Description: partial 16S ribosomal RNA
Rfam family: Bacterial small subunit ribosomal RNA
Source: RNAcentral
GACGAACGCUGGCGGCGUGCUUAACACAUGCAAGUCGAACGGUGAAGCGCCUUCCUUUUUGGUGGGUGUGGAUGAGUGGCGAACGGGUGAGUAACACGUGAGUGACCUGCCCCCUUCUUCUGGAUAACCGCAUGAAAGUGUGGCUAAUACGGGAUAUUCUGGGUCUGUCGCAUGAUGGGUCUGGGAAAGAUAUUGUUUCGGUGGGGGAUGGGCUCGCGGCCUAUCAGCUUGUUGGUGGGGUGAUGGCCUACCAAGGCGGUGACGGGUAGCCGGCCUGAGAGGGUGGACGGUCACACUGGGACUGAGACACGGCCCAGACUCCGACGGGAGGCAGCAGUGGGGAAUAUUGCACAAUGGGCGCAAGCCUGAUGCAGCGACGCCGCGUGAGGGAUGGAGGCCUUCGGGUUGUGAACCUCUUUCGCCAGUGAAGCAGGCCUGCCUCGUUUGUGGGUGGGUUGACGGUAGCUGGAUAAGAAGCGCCGGCUAACUACGUG